RNAcentral lists this ribosomal RNA (242 nucleotides) under uncultured bacterium. RNAcentral describes it as "partial 16S ribosomal RNA". It matches the Rfam family "Bacterial small subunit ribosomal RNA", at positions 94 to 334 of the family's 1533-position model. The record is from RNAcentral.
AGCGGCGGACGGGUGAGUAACGCGUGGGUAACCUGCCCUGGAGUGGGGGACAACAGUUGGAAACGACUGCUAAUACCGCAUAAGCCCACGGCCCGGCAUCGGGCUGCGGGAAAAGGAUUUAUUCGCUUCAGGAUGGACUCGCGUCCAAUUAGCUAGUUGGUGAGGUAACGGCCCACCAAGGCGACGAUUGGUAGCCGGACUGAGAGGUUGAACGGCCACAUUGGGACUGAGACACGGCCCAG